RNAcentral lists this long non-coding RNA (1839 nucleotides) under Rattus norvegicus (Norway rat). RNAcentral's name for it is "long non-coding RNA NONRATT028486". The stretch from base 1631 to 1693 matches the Rfam family "tRNA". Lineage: Eukaryota; Metazoa; Chordata; Mammalia; Rodentia; Muridae. The record is from RNAcentral.
CUGAAAGGGCAGGGGGCAGAGCCCAGGAUGGGAGGUCACACUGACUCUGUGACAUGGUUUCUUUGUCCUCAGGCCCCUCCCGGCGUCCUUCUCUGAUAUCUAGGUAACACUUCCUGGGGCUGGGCAGAUGGGCUAAUCUAAAAUACAAGCCACUGGAUUUUAAAGUAAAGGGCAGUUGGCAACCUGGGAUUUCUAGGUUGCCUGGAUUGAGCCUCAAAGCAGGCUAUAAUCUGCUGGUACCAGGGUCUAUCUUAGCUUUUGUCCAUCCUGUAGUGACUCCAAUAACCUGAAACUGAAUAAUGUGCGCCUGCCCCGGGAGAACAUGUCCCUCCCAUCCAACCUUCAGCUCAAUGACCUCACUCCGGAUAUCAGAGGGAAAGCAACAGAGCGGCCAAUGGCUCAGCAUAGCAGCCGUCCAGAGCUUCUAGAAGCGGAGCCUGGUGGCCUCCUCACCAGCCGAGGUUUCAUCCGUCUCCCAAUGUUGGGCUACAUCUACCGUGUGUCCAGCGUAAGCAGUGAUGAGAUUUGGCUCUGAGCUUGAGAGUGAGGCAGAUGGCCCAGGUGGUCUGUGGACUCCCCAGAGUGACCACCCCUUCUUGAAGCAUCUUCUUCAAGCUUCCCUCUGCCUGGCCCUGUUGUGACCAUGAAGAAACCAUGUCACUGCCGUCUGGCCUGCCUGGCAAGGAUACCUGUGGGUCAUGCAUGUGUAUGUCAUUGCACUCUAACCUGCAAGACAUGGGUACCCUUGGCAAGGCCACGGGUCAGAACUAAGCCCCUUGCACUCACUCAGUUUGGGGCCCUGCAUGUGAUAACCUGGUCCAGGCAGACGGAACUCUGGCCAGGUGUGUUUAGAUGUCACCCGACACCUAAAAGACGGGCCUAUUUAUUAUACGUCCCACGCCAGUAUCCACUGCACCUUGUGUGCAGAGAGAUGCCUAUGCAGGGGACCCCGCACAACUCAGAUGACAGCCUUCCUUUGCUAUGCAGCCUUGUUCCCUCAGGGAAAACAUAGCCCCUGCUAUUGUAUAGAACCAAAUUGCCCUUUGCUCAGGAACCAGCCCCUCACCCAGGGACCUGGCCAAGCACAAAUUCGUCCCUUUUGCUGCAACAUAUCUUUCUACUCUUCUAUCCCCACUUCCUCUUGGUCAUCAUAGGUCAUACCCUAGACCUUCUUCACUGAGUAUUAGACCUCCAUUGGCUGGGGCCCAUGGGUGCAGCCUUUGGUGUUAGCACAAGAUGAGCAAGAAGAGGUGACAGGAGGGCUGGCUCCCAAGACAGCAUGUAGCAAUGUAUCAUUUUGUACAGUGUCCUCAUAUUAAGCACAUUCUCCAGGAGCGAGGAGGGCCCAGGGCCUUCUUGGGUUCCCCAUCUUUGGCCUUCAGCAAUUCACUGUGAGUGUUCUGAGCACUCAGGGUUGGUGGUUUCCUCUCUGCAUGUCUCUUCCCACCAUGCAGCCACAUUCCUGACCAAACCUGGCUGCCACAUCCUAUUCUUCCAGGGAUGGUCACAGUGGGUAUAGAACCCAACAGCGCCAGAAGCUUUAGGGGAACAGAGGGAGCAGGAGCCCACACAGCUCUAAAGAGCUAAGAAUACUUUUAAAAAAGCAACAUGAAAAUGGCAAACAGGGGUUGGGGAUUUAGCUCAGUGGUAGAGCGCUUGCCUAGCAAGCGCAAGGCCCUGGGUUCAGUCCCCAGCUCUGGAAAAAAAAAAAAAAAAAAAGAAAGAAAAUGGCAAACAGCAGAGUAUGGAGUCUAUUUUCCUUUCUUCAUAUCUUGUUUGGUAAUUUUUCUUGUGUUACUGGUGAGUACUGUGCUGCACACACAGUAAAUUCCUUUGACC